This 434-nucleotide ribosomal RNA is filed under the name Wadicosa fidelis. RNAcentral describes it as "partial 16S ribosomal RNA". The record is from RNAcentral. Lineage: Eukaryota; Metazoa; Arthropoda; Arachnida; Araneae; Lycosidae.
UUUUAUUAGAAUUAAUUAAUAAUAAAGUCUGCUCAAUGAAAUUUAAAUAGCCGCUUUUGUGCUAAGGUAGCAUAAUCAUUUGUCUUUUAAUUAAAGACUAGAACAAAAGACUUAACAUCUCAAUAGAUUUUUUUUAAAAAAUUAUUUAAAUUAUUUUAAUUGUAAAAAAACAAUUUUUAAAAAGAAAGACGAUAAGACCCUAUCGAACUUCACUUCAGUUUAACUGGGGCAGUUAAUUAAUUAUUACCUUAAUAAUAUUAAAUAUUUAAUUUGACCUAAUAUAAUUAACAAUAUAAUUAAGUUACCGUAGGGAUAACAGUGUAAUAAAAUUUUUAAGAUCUUAUUUAAAAUAAAGAUUGCAACCUCGAUGUUGAUUUAAUAUUCUAAUUUACGCAAUAGUUAAUUAAGAAAGUCUGUUCGACUUUUAAAAAAUU